AUUGAACGCUGGCGGCAUGCCUUACACAUGCAAGUCGAACGGCAGCACGGGUGCUUGCACCUGGUGGCGAGUGGCGAACGGGUGAGUAAUACAUCGGAACAUGUCCUGUAGUGGGGGAUAGCCCGGCGAAAGCCGGAUUAAUACCGCAUACGAUCUACGGAUGAAAGCGGGGGACCUUCGGGCCUCGCGCUAUAGGGUUGGCCGAUGGCUGAUUAGCUAGUUGGUGGGGUAAAGGCCUACCAAGGCGACGAUCAGUAGCUGGUCUGAGAGGACGACCAGCCACACUGGGACUGAGACACGGCCCAGACUCCCACGGGAGGCAGCAGUGGGGAAUUUUGGACAAUGGGCGAAAGCCUGAUCCAGCAAUGCCGCGUGUGUGAAGAAGGCCUUCGGGUUGUAAAGCACUUUUGUCCGGAAAGAAAUCCUUGGCCCUAAUACGGUCGGGGGAUGACGGUACCGGAAGAAUAAGCACCGGCUAACUACGUG
Molecule: ribosomal RNA, 486 nt
Filed under: uncultured bacterium
Lineage: Bacteria
Description: partial 16S ribosomal RNA
Rfam family: Bacterial small subunit ribosomal RNA
Source: RNAcentral